UACGAAGGGGGCUAGCGUUGUUCGGAAUUACUGGGCGUAAAGCGCACGUAGGCGGAUAUUUAAGUCAGGGGUGAAAUCCCAGAGCUCAACUCUGGAACUGCCUUUGAUACUGGGUAUCUUGAGUAUGGAAGAGGUAAGUGGAAUUGCGAGUGUAGAGGUGAAAUUCGUAGAUAUUCGCAGGAACACCAGCGGCGAAGGCGGCUUACUGGUCCAUAACUGACGCUGAGGUGCGAAAGCGCGGGGAGCAAACAGGAGUUAGAAACCCCGGUAGUACCCCAGGACACGCUAU
Molecule: ribosomal RNA, 289 nt
Filed under: uncultured bacterium
Lineage: Bacteria
Description: partial 16S ribosomal RNA
Rfam family: Bacterial small subunit ribosomal RNA
Source: RNAcentral